GGUCUCCUACGGGAGGCAGCAGUAGGGAAUCUUCCACAAUGGGCGAAAGCCUGAUGGAGCAACGCCGCGUGGGUGAAGAAGGUCUUCGGAUCGUAAAACCCUGUUGAAGGGGAAAAAGAGCGGAGAGAGGAAAUGGUCUCCGAUUGAUAUUACCCUUCGAGGAAGUCACGGCUAACUACGUGCCAGCAGCCGCGGUAAUACGUAGGUGGCGAGCGUUAUCCGGAAUGAUUGGGCGUAAAGGGUGCGUAGGCGGCCUGCUAAGUCUGGAGUGAAAGGUACCGGCUCAACCGGUACAGGCUCUGGAA
Molecule: ribosomal RNA, 305 nt
Filed under: uncultured bacterium
Lineage: Bacteria
Description: bacterial SSU rRNA
Rfam family: Bacterial small subunit ribosomal RNA
Source: RNAcentral